UACAGAGGUCCCAAGCGUUGUUCGGAUUCACUGGGCGUAAAGGGUGCGCAGGUGGGCUGGCAAGUUCGAUGUGAAAGCCCCGGGCUUAACCCGGGAAUGGCAUUGGAAACUGCCGGUCUGGAGGAUCGGAGGGGGGACUGGAAUUCUUGGUGUAGCAGUGAAAUGCGUAGAUAUAUGGAAGAACAUCAAUAACGGCGAAGGCGAGUCCCUGGACAACUCCUGACACUGAGGCACGAAAGCUAGGGGAGCAAACAGG
RNAcentral lists this ribosomal RNA (256 nucleotides) under uncultured bacterium. Its description in RNAcentral is "partial 16S ribosomal RNA". It matches the Rfam family "Bacterial small subunit ribosomal RNA", at positions 524 to 776 of the family's 1533-position model. The record is from RNAcentral.